RNAcentral lists this ribosomal RNA (253 nucleotides) under uncultured bacterium. RNAcentral describes it as "partial 16S ribosomal RNA". It matches the Rfam family "Bacterial small subunit ribosomal RNA", at positions 524 to 776 of the family's 1533-position model. The record is from RNAcentral.
UACGAAGGGGGCUAGCGUUGCUCGGAAUUACUGGGCGUAAAGGGCGCGUAGGCGGAUAGUUUAGUCAGAGGUGAAAGCCCAGGGCUCAACCCUGGAAUUGCCUUUGAUACUGAAGAUCUUGAGUUCGGGAGAGGUGAGUGGAACUGCGAGUGUAGAGGUGAAAUUCGUAGAUAUUCGCAAGAACACCAGUGGCGAAGGCGGCUCACUGGCCCGAUACUGACGCUGAUGCACGAAAGCGUGGGGAGCAAACAGG